GAGCAUGCGCCAGGGAAAGUCGCACGCCCCUGCGACACUCCACCGGAAGGGGAGGGGAUUAGCGCAUGCGCGCUGUGCUCUCUUGUGGGGAUGAGCGCGAGCCCGGCUGCCCCCGGGGAGCCGUGCCGCAAAGCUGCUCCCAGUGACCGCAGUGGCUCCUGGUUUGCAUCUUGCGCCUGUUGCAAAAGGCAGGGGGAAGGAGGACUUGUGGCACCGUAGAGACUAACAGGACUAAGGUGCCACAAGUCCUCCUUUUCUUUUUGCGAAUACAGACUAACGCGGCUGCCACUCUGAAAAAAGGCAGGGGGUUGGACUAGAUGACCCCCUGAGCGCUCUUCCAGCCCUGAUCUUUCCCCCACCCUUUAACCUGUUCGUAGAAUCAUAGAAGGAGAGCACAGAUGUGAAGUGGCCGGGGUGCUGACGGGUCACGCCUCUUCGUCUUCCGAAGGAUUUGACUGUGAUGAAAGCAGUGAGUUUAUGCACCAGCUCAGGAAAGGUGGGUAUUUACCCAUAGACAUCUGCAAAAGUAACUCAUCCUUCAAAGUCCUCCAUAAAAUGCUUUGGUGUGAGGCCUACAAAAAAAUAGCCUACAGCUAGGCGGAGACCACACCAACGUUGUCUCAGUUUCCUUGUACGCCCCACCCCCAUUUGUUCAUGCCUAUCUGUUGUUGUUGUUUUAUACUUAACGUGUAAGCCCUUUAGAGGCAGGGACUGUCUUUUUGGUCUGUAUUUGUGCAGUGCCUUGCACAGUGGGGUCCUGGUCUGUGGCAGGCUCCUCUGUGCUGUGAUAACACAAAAUAAAAAUAGUUGUAAGGAGUGUCAUGGAAGAAAGCGGGAAGAUAGUUGGAUGAGACACAAGGGAGCUGUGCAGUUGGGAUCAAAGCAGCCGGCAGCAGACUUAGGACUGAUCUACGCUCAAAACUUACAUCAGCAUAAUUACAUUUCCCAGGGGUGUGAAAAAUCCACACCCCCGAGAAAUGUAGCUAUGCCGCCCUAAUCCCUGGUGUAGACAGCAGUAGGUUGACAGAAGAAUUCUUCCAUCAACCUAGCUCCCACCUCUCAGGGAGGUGGAUUAACUUCCAGCAGUGGAAGAACCCCUGCUGUCACCGUAGUGGGCGUCUCCACUGAAGUGCUACAGGUGCACAGCAGCUGUAGUACUGUAGUGUUUUAAGCGGAGACAUAGCCUUAGACAAAAAGAAACUACCAUUCCUGCAAACAAGGACAAAGAGCUUGAACUUGCUUUAGCUCAGAAGGAACGAUGCGUUGGAGCUGUGUUGUCUAGUCUGCUGCUUCCCCUACAGUGGGGAUCCCAUUUUCACAUAUGGGGGGACCAAGAGCCAAAACUAUUGCUGAAACACAGGAUCUUCCUGUGGGAGCCUUGACUUUAGCUGAUCUGAGGGGACUUGUAGGCGGGUCUCCCUCCCACUCUUAUUUUGCAAGAAGGAUUAACCCCAUUUCUCCCCUCUCCUGGUAAUGUGAGGGAAUCUCGCAGAGGAUCAUUGGAGACUUCCUCUUCCCAAGGACCUUCCGCUGGGUUUUACUGUGGCGGGGGCAGUCCAGGCCACACUUUGGAGAGGCAGCUGAUGUGAAGUUGUGGGAUGAGCAAGAAAACACAAGCCUAACUAAAACAUGGCAAUGCACCUAUACGGUUUCAUCUCAUUCAGAAAAGACACCUUUUAGAAUCCAAAGUAAAGAAAUGAUUGGUUUAUUACAUUGAAAAAGUGAGCCCUGGCCAGCAAGCCAUUUUUAUGGUAAAGCCAGAGGGCACUUGUGAACCUGCUGUAGCAAUAAGGCUGAGUGGUUUCUUCUUACUGAGCAGCAGAUUGUUGUAGUGCUUAGACUUACUGCCAACAACCCUCCUCUGAAGAAGGGAGCAUAAAGACAGGGGAACACAGGCAAAGUGACUUGUCCGAGGCCAGAGAGAGGGUCCAGUUUUGCACCUGGCCAAAUCAAUGGGAGCAAAGCGAGUGGCAAAGUUGGGUUUACAACACAGUAGAUCCUGCCUUCCAUUUCCAUGCUUAACCUACACUG
This is a long non-coding RNA of Dermochelys coriacea (leatherback sea turtle), 2031 nucleotides long. RefSeq lists it as uncharacterized. Lineage: Eukaryota; Metazoa; Chordata; Testudines; Dermochelyidae. The record is from RefSeq and is a predicted model, not a curated record. The transcript is spliced from 2 exons.